Long non-coding RNA from Nicotiana attenuata, 2467 nucleotides. RefSeq lists it as uncharacterized. The record is from RefSeq and is a predicted model, not a curated record. Lineage: Eukaryota; Viridiplantae; Streptophyta; Magnoliopsida; Solanales; Solanaceae. The transcript is spliced from 3 exons.
CUGCGUGUCUAAAAAUCCGUUUGCUAUUAACAUACGUGGCUUUAGCUCCUGCCGUUGUGUUACAGAGUUCUUCGCUUUCAUUUUCCUUCAAUCUCUCCCACAAUAUUGAUUUUCAUCUCAAUUCUCUUGCUUCAUCUCGCCCAAUUCUCUAUUUCUAUCGUCUUUUUCUUCCAUUAUAGUGUGAGCUCUUGAUUUCACUAAGUACUCUCUUCUAUUGCAGAUUUGUGGCCAAUGUUUUGGUGCAACUCCAAGCCCUUUUCAUCACUCCAUCUGCCUCGCUUUCUACCACAAGAUUGGAAGGUGGAACCCAAAGAGGGAAGAUUACUUUCUUCUUGUGUUUGUCUGGAAUCUUGAAUUCAUAAUCUUUUCUAAAACAAAAAUACCCUCAAUUUCAUCAAUCAAAACCCUAACUCAAAUUUUUUCCAAAUCUUCUUGAAUAUAUGCAAAACCAGCCUUUCAGCCAGUUUAGUUCAUGAAUUUAAGCUACACUUGCUUGGAGAUUUGUGUUGUUCCAGUGCUUCUAAUCGACCAAUCAUACUCAUCAUCUAUUUCUGUCUUUCUCACAAUGCUUUCAGAUUGGCAAUUGAGAGUUAAAAACAAUGUGCCCAAGGACCAACUUGAUUUUGAUUAAACAAGGAGAAUAUUUCCCGUGGCAACUCUCUGGUGUGUAAGGUAUUUUUACAUACCAAUAUGGCUGAAAAUCUGGACGCUUGAUGUGGAGGUUUUUAAUUAUUAAAUAAUACUCCAUAUUUCAUAUAGGUUCUGUUGGUUUGUUCUCUUCCCACCGAAUGGUUUUAAUGAUUUAUCUUUGCGCCAAUGAUCAAAACUGUGAGCAUAUUCGUUAGAUGUUGUUCUGACAUCUUAUUGUACAACAGAGAACAUUUAAAGGCUAUGGAGCAUGUGCAUUUUAUCCUGUUGCAUGAUUUAGAUUACUUUUAUUCAUAUGGUGUCUUGGCAAAGCAUUUGAGAAGUUGUCCAGUACUGAAAGUUUUGUAGCUGAAACAAGAUAACUCAGCUUGGUAAAAUCUCAUGAUCCAUAUUCAGCUCCAGUGUAUUCUUUCUCCUAUAUGCUCAGUAAAUUUGUUUUCCUCUUUUAACUUCACAAUACAACUCAACUUACUAAAAUUUCAUGCAUCUUAACUUUGAUUUGAAUAGUUGGACAAGUGAUCCUUCAAGAACUUACUUGAUGGAAAUAUCAAUAUCUACCUUUAAUUUGCUUGUGCAGGCUGUUGCUUCCAUAGAAACAUACCAGGUAAUACCUAGAGUCUAAUGGCCUGCUUUGCCAAACUUUUCAAAAUUAGCUUAUUUGAGAAAAGUACUUUUCAAAAGAGUAUUUUUUGUGAGAAGCAGUUUGUGUUUGACAAAUCAACUUGAGAAGCAUUUUUAACUUUUCAAAAAUAACUUCUACUUCUACUCAAAAGUAAUUUUUUCCUUCUAAAAGUUUGACCAAAUAUCUUAAUUUUGUGAAAAAUAUUAUUACCCAAAAAAGCACUUUUCACCAAAAAAAUCUUCACCUAGUAGGCUAUAAGUUCAUUUCGAGCAUAAAAGAAUGAGCUUGUUUCUUAUUCUUCCCCUAAAUGUUUUUCCAGUACACUUGUCCAUAAAAAGAUGAAAAUCUGGCAACCAUCUUAAAUGAAAUUUCGCAUCCUAUAAUUGGCGCAACUGCUGCGAUAAUGAUAGAGUGCUAGAGAAGAAGUAUGCAGAUUAAUAAAGGUGAAAGUAAGUUCAUAUCAAAUAGUCAAUAUGCAAUUGUACACUUGCUCCAUAAAGACCUUUUGUUUUUUCCUGGAAAAUGAAAAUGAAGAGAUAAACCAUGAUGAGCGAAUUCCUUGCGUUCAUUACUACUCUCGAAUUCCUUUAUGGAUGGAGACAGUUAUUGGGGUUUGCCUACAGCUACCCCUUUUUCCAUGUGUCUGGUAUAAUUUUGUUAUAUAUUAGUGAAAUAAAUCUUAUUAGAGUGGAAGGAAGUUUCUGAUUCUAAUGUAUUUAUUGCAUGUUGUGCAGCUGUGUGUGGUGUAUUCGUGUGUAUUCACACUCUUUUUACUGGCAGGAGUUCUUUGGAGCAUGCUAAAUUUGAGCUUAUGGUAUAAUGAAAGCACAAACAAAGAUGCAUGACAAUGUUUAGAAAGUAUGUCAAUUACACCGACUAAUUUAGUUCUCUUGCUUCUCUUCCUUUUCUCAACUAUUUUCUCUGUGAAAGAAUGAGAUAGGCUAGACUAACGAAUAAUCCCUACUGGUACCAAUAUUUUGGCAAAGCAUACAGGUACCAAUAUUUUGACAAAGCAAGCAAGAAAGGAGCCUAACCAAAGCGCAAUAGCUGCACUACAUUUCGUAAAUAUGCUAAUAUCAUAUAUGUGAACUUAUGUUUCCCAUAGAUGAAAGCAAUAUGCCGUUGGGCAACCACACAACAUUCAAGAAUGGAUAUUUUGUCAUUCAUAUUCAUAAAUAAUUUCCAACAGUUGGUAUA